GCUCGUAGUUGGAUUCCUGACCUGGGGUAGCCGGUCCGCCUUGCAAAAGGUGCGCACUGAGCGGCCUCGGUCAUCCUUGAGAAGAGCGGUCCUGGCAUUCAGUUGUCGGGGUCGGGAUUCUCGACGUUUACUGUGAAAAAAUCAGAGUGUUCAACGCAGGCUUACGCCUUGAAUACAUUAGCAUGGAAUAAUGAGAUAGGACCUUGGCGGUCUAUUUUGUUGGUUUGCACGCCGAGGUAAUGAUUAAAAGGGACGGUUGGGGUUCUUCGUAUUCAAUUGUCAGAGGUGAAAUUCUUGGAUUUAUGGAAGACGAACUGCUGCGAAAGCGUCGAACAAGGACGUUCUCAUUAAUCAAGAACGAAAGUUAGGGGAUCGAAGAUGAUUAGAUACCAUCGUAGUCUUAACCAUAAACUAUGCCGAUUCAGGAUUGGCGGUCGUUUGUUCUCGACUCCGUCAGCACUGUAUGAGAAAUCAAAAUCUUUGGGUUCCGGGGGGAGUAUGGUCGCAAGGCUGAAACUUAAAGAAAUUGACGGAAG
Molecule: ribosomal RNA, 536 nt
Filed under: Pelagomonas calceolata
Lineage: Eukaryota; Pelagophyceae; Pelagomonadales; Pelagomonadaceae
Description: SSU rRNA
Rfam family: Eukaryotic small subunit ribosomal RNA
Source: RNAcentral